Molecule: non-coding RNA, 3522 nt
Organism: Heterocephalus glaber (naked mole-rat)
Lineage: Eukaryota; Metazoa; Chordata; Mammalia; Rodentia; Bathyergidae
Source: RefSeq, a predicted model, not a curated record
CUUGGCGCUUUUCGAGGCUUUCUCCGGCUACACUCUCUCACAAGCCCCUGAAUCACUCGCAAAGCGCCAUCAUUCAUGAAUUCCAGACAGUAACUGCUUUCUGGCUUCUGUACCUUGGGUGCUGCCCUUCUCUUCCUGGAACACCUUCCUUGCCUCUCUACCUAGCCAUCUUCGAGUCCUGCUCAAAAGCCAAAGACUGCCGGGCGUGAUGGCGCAUGCCUGUAAUUCCAGCACUCAGGAGGCUGAGGCAGAAAGAUCCCCGUGACUUUGAGGCCAGUGUGGGCCUCAUGGUGAAUUCAUGGCCAGCCUGAACUACCGUGCAAGACCCUGUCUCCAAAAACAAGAAACAAAAAAACCCCUCAAAGACCACCUCCUCCAGGAAGCCAGGAGGGCACAGGGCCGUGAUUUCAUCUCUAUAACCCCGACUUAUGGAAGGAGAAUGCUGAUGGUUGCUGAUGGCAGGACACUUCCAGAACUAGAAGCAUUGUGAAUAGAAAGGAAGCAUCUGCACCCUUCCUGAGGUCCUCGUGGCAUGCCUGAGUGUCGCCUGGGCAGAAGGCGCUGGCCCCCAUCCUGCCCCUCUGGUCUCUCCUCACCAACACCUCUGCUGAGCCAUUUGUCACCGGACUAGCAGGGAAGUCCCUUGUGCCUCCUGUCCUCUUCGGCUUCUCCCUCUUCCCAGAACCCAGAGACCAGGGGCUCCAGGGAGCGAGAUCCUGUGCUCACAGGAGACACGCUUGGCACCAUCCUCUCGCCUGUCACUCUGCUCUGUUACACAUCCCACGACCUGGACCCAUGCUGGACCUAGGUGUGAGUGGCCUGCUUUAACCUGCCCCCAGCCCCACCCGGCUCUCUUCUUCCAGGAGGGCCAGGCAAGUCCACCCUCCCCUUGGCUGUGAGAGCUUCCCAGGGCAGCCAGGGCAGGGGAGCGGGCUUCUCCCAGCCUCUGCAGCCCCAUCUCUGGUCUCUGGGCCCUGUGCCUGCCCCCUGGGCUCUGCAUUCAUCCCCUGGGGCCACCAGCCACAAGCCCAGUCUCACCUCACACACCCUCGGGCCAGCUGUGGUGAGAAACCCUUGUGCAGACUCUGGGACUGGAGCACCAUCCAAGAGAAAGGAGGACGGGGUUCCUGGGCCCCAGAGGCAGCAAACAAAGGCUCAGCCCGGCUGGAAAGGGAGCACGGCUCUCCAGGCACCCAUCAUGCCAAAGCCAGAAGCACCAGGAGCUCUGUGCUAGGGAAACCAGAAUUUCCACCUCCAGUUGUGACAGAUCCUGGCUUGGGCGGAAGUUGGUGGUUUGGGAGGGAAAAGGCUGACCUGCCUGGCGGCAGACACACCUCUCCCUCGCUCCUCUUGCUUCAGACUGCACAGUUUAAAAGGUCUUUCUGGGCUGCUCAGCCACACUCUGCCUCUCUGCCACACUGCAUCCGGUCUGUCCAGCCUGGCUGUGGUUUCCUCCCUCUUUCGAUUUCCCAGACAGUGGAUGAAACAUCUCUCAGGCCACAAUCUAAAAGGUAUGGAGCUGUUAGUAGACUUGGCUGAGGAAGUCCCCCUGCAGCAUCACCCUGCCACCAUCAGCGUGCCAUCAGGCGAGUGGGAAGCCCAGGACAUCCCCCAGCUGAGUGUGUGCUUAACAGGACUCGCCUCUGAGGCCCCCACCCCCGAGGUGGCUGCCAGGGGGAGCCUCAUGGGGCAGCCUCGUAACGCAGGGUUAAUGAGGCCCCAGGCCUGUGAAGUGGGUAGCUCCUGCCCACUCAGCUGCGUCAGGUGACGGCAGGUUAAAGAGCACACAUCCCACAGGGCCCAGCCAACGCCAACAAGUGAUCCCUCCAUUCCAGGCUCAUGCUGCUCACCAUACAUCAGAAGCCCUCUCUGAGUGUGACUCCAUCCCUUCUUUGACAGUGCCAGCCAUCAGGGAGCCAUCAUGAGGCAGCCCCUCAGCCUUUCUCUCCCUCUGCUCCCAACAUCACUCAGUCCCCCAGGCUCCUCUGACACAGGCUGCUCUUGACGACUGUUUCUGCCAGGACUUGUGACCUUGAGACCCCUAUACUCUCCCACAGGCUGGUUGCCAGGUCCCUCCCAGGCUCCCAGAGUCAAGGGAAACUUCCAUUCCCCUGACUCCCAGCUUGCAUGUGGGAGGCUGCCUUGCCCGGGACCUUUCUGCUGGAACCCACUGGCUCACCUGGGUCACAGGGAGGGGCUCUGAUGGGGAAGCGAGGGGGGUUCCAGCAUUCUUCUGGCCCAGACCUCUCUCCCCAGCCCCUCAGCCAGCUGGAAUACUUGGCAGGUUGGGCCACAGCCCUCCCCACAGUGUCAGGAGGUUGGUGCCACCACGAUGCCACUUUACAGAGAAAGAAGGAGGCUACACAGCUCCAAGGAAAGCUAAAUUCAGAUCUGCCCCUUCCAAAAGGAAUCCUUCGCCAGGACAGUGGCUCCUGAGGCCUGUUCCCUCAGCCCCACCUCCCAAUCCCUGUUGGAAAUUACUUUGGAGCUGCUUGGGUGAAGAAGGGAGUGUGGAAGGGGAGGGCAGCAAGCUCUGUCUUCUCUAAAGCUAAGAAACAACAUCUCUGGGGUCAACGUGGCAGGAAGGGAAUCUCCCGGAAGAGAAGUCUCUGGUGGCAUCUCCCCCACCCCUGCGCAGGGCAGAAGAGCCAGAUGGGGAGGAGGGCUCCCUGCCCCCCAGCAAUGCGCCCCUGGCCCGGAGGCCUCUGAGUGUGGCCCCCAAGCCUCACAGGCAACAGCUGUGGAGCCCACUGCAGGGCCGGCUGGGUGGUGACACCCUGCACUGUCACCGGGUCCCCGAGCUCAGAAGGGCCCACUCGCCCUGUGAGGCUCUGCCCUUGCUGUCUUCAAAGUCUUAAUAAUUUUUAAACCAGGGCCCCACAUUUUCAUUUUCCAGUGGACCCCACAAAUUAUGCAGCAGGUCCUGGCCACUCAGGAAGCUCAGAGCUGGCAGGGCCCCACCCCUUCCUCACUGUACAGCGAGGAAACCGAGGCUGGGAGAAGAGGCCAGCCGGACUGGAGUCAGGGCGGCCAGUAGCGGCGGUGGGGUCAGAUGUCUGAGGAGCAGGUGCAGCUCAACACCUUCCUCACUCCUGUGUGCCGUCCCCCGGCCGCCUUCUACACCCUGGAGCCCAGAGUUCAGCCUCCGCCCCGGGGUCCCGUUCCCCGCUGGACUCCUCUCCCACAUGGGACAGCAGCACUUCCUGCCGGCUGGAAGGGGGGGGGGGAGGCGGGACUCAGGGCUUCUCCCCUUACCCCUCCGUCCACCUCGCAGCCUCCGCCCCCGGGCUCUCUGCAGAGCGCCUCAGGGAGGGAGGGCGCGUGGACACAUCCCACUCCUGCCUUCACAGUGACCGGGCGGGUCCAGUUCCCCUCCUCCCCCUCCUCCUCCUCCUCCUCCUCCCCCCAGCAUGAGAGCGGCCCUCGGAAAAGCAGAGUCCCGAACAACAUCUGCUUCCGGCUCCCCUUCCUCAGCCCCUCCUUCUAAUCACAAAAGAGUCAAACCAACUUAUGUGCGUCGUG